CCUACGGGUGGCAGCAGUGAGGAAUAUUGGUCAAUGGCCGGAAGGCUGAACCAGCCAAGCCGCGUGAACGACGAAGGUGCCAAGCAUUGUAAACUUCUUUUGUCAAGGAGCAAAAUCAGGCUCGAGAGCCUGACCGAGGUGACUUGAAGAAAAAAGAACGGCUAACGCCGUGCCAGCAGCCGCGGUAAUACGGAGGAUGCGAGCGUUAUCCGGAUUUAUUGGGUUUAAAGGGUGCGUAGGCGGACUGUUAAGUCAGCGGUAAAAGCCCGGGGCUCAACCCCGGCGAGCCGUUGAAACUGGCUGUCUUGAGAUGUCGAGAGGUAUGCGGAAUGCGCAGUGUAGCGGUGAAAUGCUUAGAUAGUGCGAAGAACUCCGAUGGCGAAGGCAGCAUACCGGCGGCGAUCUGACGCUGAGGCACGAAAGCGUGGGUAUCGAACAGGAUUAGAUACCCCUGUAGUC
RNAcentral lists this ribosomal RNA (459 nucleotides) under uncultured bacterium. RNAcentral describes it as "partial 16S ribosomal RNA". It matches the Rfam family "Bacterial small subunit ribosomal RNA", at positions 338 to 795 of the family's 1533-position model. The record is from RNAcentral.